RNAcentral lists this ribosomal RNA (440 nucleotides) under uncultured bacterium. RNAcentral describes it as "partial 16S ribosomal RNA". It matches the Rfam family "Bacterial small subunit ribosomal RNA", at positions 338 to 795 of the family's 1533-position model. The record is from RNAcentral.
CCUACGGGUGGCAGCAGUGGGGAAUAUUGCUCAAUGGGGGAAACCCUGAUGCAGCGACGCAGCGUGAGUGAAGAAGUAUUUCGGUAUGUAAAGCUCUGUCAGCAGGGAAGAAAAUGACGGUACCUGACCAAGAAGCCCCGGCUAACUACGUUCAAGAAGCCGCGGUAAUACGUAGGGGGCAGGGGUUAUCCGGAUUUACUGGGUUUAAAGGGAGCGUAGACGGCAUGGCAAGUCUGGAGUGAAAGGCGGGGGCUCAACCCCCGGAUUGCAUUGGAAACUGCCAGGCUGGAGUGCAGGAGAGGUAAGUGGAAUUCCUAGUGUAGCGGUGAAAUGCGUAGAUAUUAGGAGGAACACCAGUGGCGAAGGCGGCUUACUGGACUGUAACUGACGUUGAGGCUCGAAAGCGUGGGUAGCAAACAGGAUUAGAUACCCUAGUAGUC